UGCUUUAAUUUGGUUCACCAUUUUCGUAAUAAAGUAAAAGACACAAAGUUUAAGAUUACAAAUUAAAAAAGAAAACGAUCACUAUUUUGGAAACGUGCACGUGGCUGCACGAAUAAUAAGAUUUCAGGCCUGAGCCCAUCACAACAAAAGAUAUGCCAGUUUUGCUUUUGCUGGCAUUGGCCUGUCAUCUACAACAAUCUCAGCAUCAUUGCUCUGAUAAACAACAUCCCAAUUGGUUGGAGAAACUGCCAAUGUUACGGAUCUAUUCUUCUUGAAAUGUCAUCGAGUACGUAUUCACAAGGACACCCUUUUCCUAUACCGCCUUGUGGAUUCAACGUUUCGACAUCCGGGUGGAGCAACCGGAGCAACUGUGGAUGCCUGGCCGUAUUUCUCAGGCUAAAAGAUGUGUUACUGUCGACCUGAUCACCGCUGCUGCUGCCAGCAUCACUGGGUCGGCAUAUCUCAGUCGGACUCGGGAGCUCACUGCAGCCGUGAUGAUGGUGUGUCUAUGUAAAUGAGAAAAGAAGUUGUAUAUCUCUCUCGUCGUCCCUUCUCGCUGUGUGACCCCGGUGGAGAGAGAACGAAAGGAAAGAAAGAAGAAAAAAAAGGAAUAAUAAUAAUAAAAAAAAGGGCCAACGGAAUGGACGGGGUUGCACACGCGCGAGCGAUAUAUAGUGCCGACAGUCCACACAACAAGAAAACCGUGAAUGUAAGGAAAGAAAAAAGGGCGCAACACGGAUCCGCCAGGGGGUCCGCUCCUCUUUUGUUUUCUUAUUACAAUAAAAAAAUGAAAA
This is a long non-coding RNA of Daphnia pulicaria, 794 nucleotides long. RefSeq lists it as uncharacterized. The record is from RefSeq and is a predicted model, not a curated record. The transcript has 5 exons. Lineage: Eukaryota; Metazoa; Arthropoda; Branchiopoda; Diplostraca; Daphniidae.